This 211-nucleotide long non-coding RNA is filed under the name Setaria viridis. RNAcentral describes it as "long non-coding RNA (SVIR_LNC004255)". Lineage: Eukaryota; Viridiplantae; Streptophyta; Magnoliopsida; Poales; Poaceae. The record is from RNAcentral.
AACAAAAGAAACACGACACUCUUCCAAGUGAAUGGCUAGAUGAGCUAGCUCAUGCACAAUUUUAUUUUGCUCUCUCCUGAUCUUGGCAAAAUGUAGACUAUGCAACUUCUGCUAUCCAGCCAAAUAUCAAGGAUGACUGGUGCAAUCAGAGACAUGAAAAUACUAGGUGCUCCCAGUUUAUCAAUAAUUGUCGAGCAAUAGGAUUAUAUCC